Non-coding RNA from Odocoileus virginianus texanus, 2027 nucleotides. The record is from RefSeq and is a predicted model, not a curated record. NCBI's taxonomy places the organism in Eukaryota, Metazoa, Chordata, Mammalia, Artiodactyla, Cervidae.
GACAGCCUCACGGUAGCCAGGUGCUGACAGAGUGAGCGAGGUGACCCUGCUUUGUGGUACAAGGCGGAGCAUCCAUGAGGUGACGGACCCACCCCAAGCUCCACGGCCCUCGUCUGAGGCUCCGUGCACAGUGGUGAGAGUGAGUCCUACGCGUCAGGGAACCCUCUGCAGAAGUUUACUCUGCAGCAGGUGUCCGAAAGUCCUCAGCUCCGACAGGCACUCACAAAUUCUGUCAUUUCAAGGGGACAUGAAAACAUCAGCCUUCUCAGCCACCUCGCCAUGCAAGUUUCUGCCACAGAGCAGGUACCCCACCCUAAGUCUGAUACCUCUUCAAAAAGCUGUGACUGAAAAUCAAAUUCAACUGAACCAAAAGGCAACAGGGUGUUAGCUAAUUUCACUACUUUACAGAGGAGCUGUACUUGGCCCCUAAAAUUACUUAGAAAGAAUCUUAGCCAUUUUAGAAUUAAAAACACAGAAAUGAAGAAAACGUGGCCAACUUCCUUCAUAAUACUGGAUUAAGAAAGGAUUUUUCUAGCUAUGACUUAAAAUUCAGAAGCCAGAAGAUAAAUGACUGAUUAAUUCAACUACAAAAAAAGUUAAAAAAAAAUUCUGCACGGCAAAAAAUACCGUAAGUUAAAUCAGAAAACUAAUGCAGUGCAGAGGUCAGAUUCCCACAUGUGAACCCACUGGUCACAAGGAGAGAGCUGAUCAUAUGAGGCAACAGGAAAAUAUAUGGCACCACCUAUUCUUGCCAAAAUACUGAAACUGAAAUUGAACAAAUCUCCAGACUGAAACACUAGUUUGUACAAAUACAAGUGAUAGAGAAACAUGUUACACAACACUAAGGAGAUGCAAUCAGCAAAAAAAUCUAAAAUGUAAGAUGCUCCAUACGGCACAUUUUCCCCAACAAAAUAAACAGCAACAUGGAAGAGAAACUAUAGGUUAAGAGAUACUUUAGAGUCAUAUCAACCAAAACUAUAAAUGCAUUUUCCCUUUGACCCAGCUAUCCCACUUCUGGGAAUUCUUAGAUAAAGCUUCCUUUCAUGCAUGAAAUGAAGCAGGCACAGCAUCAUCCAGAGUCACACUACUAACAAUAUAAAAAUCUGGGAGAAAACCAAGGGUGUAUAUAUACUGACUGGCAAAAUAAAGUAUGGUCUAGUCACAUGGUGGAACACCACACGGCUGUAAAAAGAAUGAGAACAUUCUUUUUGUACUGAUAUGGAAGAUCUCCAGGAUAUGUUUAAUGAAAAAAAGAAAAAGAUUCAGAUCAGCAGAUAUGAUGUGCUACCUUUAUGUCUGUGGUGCUGGAGAAGACUCAAGAGUCCCUUGGGCUCUUUUUCUCACUACAAGCAGCGGCUGCUACUGCAGCCGGGCGUCACUUGGCUCCCACGGCAGACAUGGCGACCCUGACAGUGGUCCAGCCGCUCACUCUGGACAGAGAUGUUGCCAGAGCAAUUGAAUUACUGGAAAAACUACAGGAAUCUGGAGAAGUACCAGUGCACAAACUACAAUCCCUCAAAAAAGUGCUUCAGAGUGAGUUUUGUACUGCUAUUCGAGAGGUGUAUCAAUAUAUGCAUGAAACGAUAACUGUUAAUGGCUGUCCCGAAUUCCGUGCCAGGGCCACAGCAAAGGCUACAGCUGCAGCUUUUGCAGCUAGUGAAGGCCAUUCCCACCCUCGGGUAGUCGAACUGCCAAAGACAGAUGAAGGCCUUGGUUUUAACGUGAUGGGAGGAAAGGAGCAAAAUUCUCCCAUUUAUAUCUCUCGCAUCAUUCCUGGAGGGGUGGCCGAAAGACACGGAGGCCUCAAGAGAGGAGACCAGCUGCUAUCAGUGAAUGGACUGGGAUAAUAAAGAGGACCUCCUGGGAAAAUCAUCGCAAGAUAUUGCAGCUAGUAGAAUUUUCCCCACAUAAUACUCUAGUUGAAUUAAUACUUAACAUAAUUUCAAGUCACUUUUAUUCAGUUUGUUGUUAUUCAGUCACUGAGUUGUGUCUGACUCUGCAACCCCAUGGACUGCAGCACACCAGAC